AAUAUUAAUUAGGGGUGCUCUUUAUAGAGCUGAGAUUAUACCCUUUGAACCUGUUGGUUAGCACCAGCGUAGGGAAACAGUAUUACUUAUAA
RNAcentral lists this non-coding RNA (92 nucleotides) under Selenihalanaerobacter shriftii. RNAcentral describes it as "TPP sequence". It matches the Rfam family "TPP riboswitch aptamer (THI element)". From Rfam's summary of the family: Vitamin B(1) in its active form thiamin pyrophosphate (TPP) is an essential coenzyme that is synthesised by coupling of pyrimidine and thiazole moieties in bacteria. The previously detected thiamin-regulatory element, thi box was extended, resulting in a new, highly conserved RNA secondary structure, the THI element, which is widely distributed in eubacteria and also occurs in some archaea. Analysis of operon structures identified a large number of new candidate thiamin-regulated genes, mostly transporters, in various prokaryotic organisms. Lineage: Bacteria; Bacillati; Bacillota; Clostridia; Halanaerobiales; Halobacteroidaceae. The record is from Rfam by way of RNAcentral.